Molecule: transfer RNA, 70 nt
Filed under: Ictidomys tridecemlineatus (thirteen-lined ground squirrel)
Lineage: Eukaryota; Metazoa; Chordata; Mammalia; Rodentia; Sciuridae
Description: Spermophilus tridecemlineatus (thirteen-lined ground squirrel) tRNA
Rfam family: tRNA
About the family: Transfer RNA (tRNA) molecules are approximately 80 nucleotides in length.
Source: Rfam by way of RNAcentral
GGGGAUAUAGCUCAGUUGGUAGAGUGUUUGCCUCACAUACAUAAGGCCCUGGGUUCAAUCCUCAGCACCA